UUAGUCUUAUAAUUUAAGACUGGAAUGAAAGGAUAAACUGAAAAAGCUUUUUCUUUAUUAUUUUUUUUUGAAUUUUACUUUUUAGUAAAAAGGCUAAAAUAAUCCCUUAAGACAAAAAGACCCUAUAAAGCUUUACAUGAUUUAAUUUUACAAAUUUGGUUUCAUGUUUAACUGGGGCGGUUAAAAGAUAAACACUUUUGCAUUAAUUAAAUAUAGUAAUUUAUAUAUCCAAAAAUUUUGAAGUCUAAACAAGUUACUUUAGGGAUAACAGCGUUAUAUACUUAGAAAGUUCAAAUUGACAAGUAUGUUUGCGACCUCGAUGUUGGAUUAGGUUUCCUUUAUUGCGCAAGAGGAAUA
Molecule: ribosomal RNA, 357 nt
Filed under: Rhopalurus junceus
Lineage: Eukaryota; Metazoa; Arthropoda; Arachnida; Scorpiones; Buthidae
Description: partial 16S ribosomal RNA
Rfam family: Archaeal large subunit ribosomal RNA
Source: RNAcentral